Molecule: ribosomal RNA, 1192 nt
Filed under: iron-reducing bacterium enrichment culture clone FEA_2_E5
Lineage: Bacteria
Description: bacterial SSU rRNA
Rfam family: Bacterial small subunit ribosomal RNA
Source: RNAcentral
CGAAUUCUCGUAGCGUGUUCGAGGAUGAUUCAGCAACCUGACUGAACCGCCAGUCUACGAGCAGCAGUGGGAUUGACCAUGGGCAGCUGAUCCGCAUCGCUGGAGGAGAGCUCGGGUGUAAGCUCUCGCAGACGAAACGCGAGCUCUACAUAGCUCGCUAUGACGUACCUGAAGAAGAAGCACCGGCUACUACGUGCCAGCAGCCGCGGUAAUACGUAGGGUGCGAGGCGUUAAUCGGAAUUACUGGGCGUAAAGCGUGCGCAGGCGGAUUGUUAAGCAAGACGUGAAAGCCCCGGGCUUAACCUGGGAACUGCGCUUGUGACUGCAUAACUCGAGUGUGGCAGAGGGGGGUGGAAUUCCACGUGUAGCAGUGAAAUGCGUAGAGAUGUGGAGGAACACCGAUGGCGAAGGCAGCCCCCUGGGUCAACACUGACGCUCAUGCACGAAAGCGUGGGGAGCAAACAGGAUUAGAUACCCUGGUAGUCCACGCCCUAAACGAUGCGAACUAGGUGUUGGGGAAGGAGACUUUCUUAGUACCGCAGCUAACGCGUGAAGUUCGCCGCCUGGGGAGUACGGUCGCAAGAUUAAAACUCAAAGGAAUUGACGGGGACCCGCACAAGCGGUGGAUGAUGUGGAUUAAUUCGAUGCAACGCGAAAAACCUUACCUACCCUUGACAUGUCAGGAAGUCCGCUGAGAGGUGGAUGUGCUCGAAAGAGAACCUGAACACAGGUGCUGCAUGGCUGUCGUCAGCUCGUGUCGUGAGAUGUUGGGUUAAGUCCCGCAACGAGCGCAACCCUUGUCAUUAAUUGCCAUCAUUCAGUUGGGCACUUUAAUGAGACUGCCGGUGACAAACCGGAGGAAGGUGGGGAUGACGUCAAGUCCUCAUGGCCCUUAUGGGUAGGGCUUCACACGUCAUACAAUGGUCGGUACAGAGGGUCGCCAACCCGCGAGGGGGAGCCAAUCCCACAAAGCCGAUCGUAGUCCGGAUCGCAGUCUGCAACUCGACUGCGUGAAGUCGGAAUCGCUAGUAAUCGUGGAUCAGCAUGUCACGGUGAAUACGUUCCCGGGUCUUGUACACACCGCCCGUCACACCAUGGGAGUGGGUUCCACCAGAAGUAGGUAGUCUAACCGCAAGGAGGGCGCUUACCACGGUGGGAUUCAUGACUGGGGUGAAGUCGUAACAAGGUAGCC